AAACCCUCAAAGGGGAAAGCUUGACCGCUUUCUCUCUUUGGAAUUGGAGUGUGCCGGCCUUUUUCUAGCCCGGCUCCUCUGAAAUGCAUUAGCGAUGUGACAUCCUCGUGCCAUCACGCUUCUCCAGCAUUGAUAGUCUCUUUCAUGCUCGAGUGUGUUGUGCAGCAGUGGAAAGUUUUGCUCGCUCACAAACUUGAUUGGGGGCUUUGCACCCCCAUCACUUUGACCA
RNAcentral lists this unclassified non-coding RNA (229 nucleotides) under uncultured Hygrocybe. RNAcentral describes it as "sequence contains ITS2". Lineage: Eukaryota; Fungi; Basidiomycota; Agaricomycetes; Agaricales; Hygrophoraceae. The record is from RNAcentral.